This 395-nucleotide RNase P RNA is filed under the name Candidatus Erwinia haradaeae. RNAcentral describes it as "RNase P, M1 RNA component". It matches the Rfam family "Bacterial RNase P class A". Rfam says of the family: Ribonuclease P (RNase P) is a ubiquitous endoribonuclease, found in archaea, bacteria and eukarya as well as chloroplasts and mitochondria. Lineage: Bacteria; Pseudomonadati; Pseudomonadota; Gammaproteobacteria; Enterobacterales; Erwiniaceae. The record is from RNAcentral.
AAAGCUGACUAGACAGUCGCCCCAGGGUCAUACCUACUGGUAAAACACUACUCUGGGGAGGAAAGUCCGGGCUCCAUAGGGUGUGGAUGCCAGGUAACACCUGGGAGGCGAAAGCCUACGACUAGUGCAACAGAAAACAAACCGCCGACAACCUAUAAGGUUCUAUAUCAAUACUUACGAUGGGUUAGGCAAGGGUGAAAUGGUGCGGUAAGAGCGCACCACGCGACUGGUAACAGUACGUGGUACGGUAAACUCCAUCCGGAGCAAGGCCAAAUAGAAGCUCGUCAAGUAUGGCCCGUACAGAGCUCGGGUAGGCUGCUUGAGCCAGUAAGUGAUUCCUGGCCUAGAUGAAUGACUGUCCACGACAGAACCCGGCUUAUAGGUCAGCUUUUUAA